RNAcentral lists this ribosomal RNA (472 nucleotides) under uncultured bacterium. RNAcentral's name for it is "partial 16S ribosomal RNA". It matches the Rfam family "Bacterial small subunit ribosomal RNA", at positions 28 to 507 of the family's 1533-position model. The record is from RNAcentral.
GACGAACGCUGGCGGCGUGCUUAACACAUGCAAGUCGAACGCUGAAGCUUGGUGCUUGCACUGGGUGGAUGAGUGGCGAACGGGUGAGUAAUACGUGAGUAACCUGCCCUUGACUCUGGGAUAAGCCUGGGAAACUGGGUCUAAUACUGGAUAUGACAUGCCACUGCAUGGUGGUGUGUGGAAAGGGUUUUACUGGUUUUGGAUGGGCUCACGGCCUAUCAGCUUGUUGGUGGGGUAAUGGCCUACCAAGGCGACGACGGGUAGCCGGCCUGAGAGGGUGACCGGCCACACUGGGACUGAGAGACGGACCAGACUCCUACGGGAGGCAGCAGUGGGGAAUAUUGCACAAUGGGCGGAAGCCUGAUGCAGCGACGCCGCGUGAGGGAUGACGGCCUUCGGGUUGUAAACCUCUUUCAGAACGGAAGAAGCGAGAGUGACGGUACGUGCAGAAGAAGCGCCGGCUAACUACGUG